Molecule: ribosomal RNA, 492 nt
Filed under: uncultured bacterium
Lineage: Bacteria
Description: partial 16S ribosomal RNA
Rfam family: Bacterial small subunit ribosomal RNA
Source: RNAcentral
AGUGAACGCUGGCGGUAUGCCUAACACAUGCAAGUCGAACGGCAGCACAGUAAGAGCUUGCUCUUACGGGUGGCGAGUGGCGGACGGGUGAGGAAUACAUCGGAAUCUACUUUUUCGUGGGGGAUAACGUAGGGAAACUUACGCUAAUACCGCAUACGACCUACGUGUGAAAGCAGGGGAUCUUCGGACCUUGCGCGAUUGAAUGAGCCGAUGUCGGAUUAGCUAGUUGGCGGGGUAAAGGCCCACCAAGGCGACGAUCCGUAGCUGGUCUGAGAGGAUGGUCAGCCAGACUGGAAGUGAGAAAGGGUCCAGACUCCUACGGUGGGAAGCAGUGGGGAAUAUUGGGCAAUGGGCGAAAGCCUGAUCCAGCAAUACCGCGUGAGUGAAGAAGGCCUUCGGGUUGGAGAGCCCUUUUGUUGGGAAAGAAAAGCAGCAGGUUAAUACCCCGCUGUAAUGACGGUACCCAAAGAAUAAGCACCGGCUAACUUCGUG